AUUGAACGCUGGCGGAAUGCUUUACACAUGCAAGUCGAACGGCAGCAUAGGUGCUUGCACCUGAUGGCGAGUGGCGAACGGGUGAGUAAUACAUCGGAACGUGCCCAGUCGUGGGGGAUAACGUAGCGAAAGUUACGCUAAUACCGCAUACGAUCUAAGGAUGAAAGCGGGGGACCGUAAGGCCUCGCGCGAUGUGAGCGGCCGAUGUCAGAUUAGGUAGUUGGUGAGGUAAAGGCUCACCAAGCCGACGAUCUGUAGCUGGUCUGAGAGGACGACCAGCCACACUGGGACUGAAACACGGCCCAGACUCCUACGGGAGGCAGCAGUGGGGAAUUUUGGACAAUGGACGCAAGUCUGAUCCAGCCAUUCCGCGCGCAGGACGAAGGCCUUCGGGUUGUAAACUGCUUUUGUACGGAACGAAAAAGCUCUUACUAAUACUAGGAGUCCAUGACGGUACCGUAAGAAUAAGCACCGGCUAACUACGUGCCAGCAGCCGCCGUAA
RNAcentral lists this ribosomal RNA (502 nucleotides) under uncultured bacterium. RNAcentral's name for it is "partial 16S ribosomal RNA". It matches the Rfam family "Bacterial small subunit ribosomal RNA", at positions 30 to 523 of the family's 1533-position model. The record is from RNAcentral.